AGUGAACGCUGGCGGUAGGCCUAACACAUGCAAGUCGAACGGCAGCACAGUAAGAGCUUGCUCUUACGGGUGGCGAGUGGCGGACGGGUGAGGAAUACAUCGGAAUCUACUUUUUCGUGGGGGAUAACGUAGGGAAACUUACGCUAAUACCGCAUACGACCUACGGGUGAAAGCAGGGGAUCUUCGGACCUUGCGCGAAUGAAUGAGCCGAUGUCGGAUUAGCUAGUUGGCGGGGUAAAGGCCCACCAAGGCGACGAUCCGUAGCUGGUCUGAGAGGAUGGUCAGCCACACUGGAACUGAGACACGGUCCAGACUCCUACGGGAGGCAGCAGUGGGGAAUAUUGGACAAUGGGCGCAAGCCUGAUCCAGCCAUACCGCGUGGGUGAAGAAGGCCUUCGGGUUGUAAAGCCCUUUUGUUGGGAAAGAAAAGCAGCAGGUUAAUACCCCGCUGUUCUGACGGUACCCAAAGAAUAAGCACCGGCUAACUUCGUG
Molecule: ribosomal RNA, 492 nt
Filed under: uncultured bacterium
Lineage: Bacteria
Description: partial 16S ribosomal RNA
Rfam family: Bacterial small subunit ribosomal RNA
Source: RNAcentral